Long non-coding RNA from Paramormyrops kingsleyae, 506 nucleotides. RefSeq lists it as uncharacterized. NCBI's taxonomy places the organism in Eukaryota, Metazoa, Chordata, Actinopteri, Osteoglossiformes, Mormyridae. The record is from RefSeq and is a predicted model, not a curated record.
UCUUCUGACGUCAAUACGUUUUGUACACGGCGCCCGUUUCCUGCGUCGCGCGACCUGUCAUUUUCCCGCGAAACCGUGUUCGGCCCGGCUUGUGCGAGGAAUGGCGGUUGCUUGCGAGUGAGUGCCUGUGAAGUGAGACGUUCGAUUAUUUUUUGCAGGCACGUGGAAGGCCAAAGUUGAGCAAUUGAUAACAUUUUUAUUUAACUGAAUGAGAAACGUUUUGUUAUGAAAACAACAUUUAUUACGAAAGAUCCCUAGCUGGAGUACAACUUGAUAUGUCCUUGGAACAUGGCCAUUUUUGGCACAUUUUUAACAAAAAUGACACUGAAUUUAGGAACUAAUUUAGUUUUUCUGUAAACACCAUUGUUACGCUUGACUGAAGCCAUACACUGCUUUUUAUGAUGCAGUUAAUCCAAGCCCUUCACAUCAGCUUUUGGAAGGCCACAAUGUUCAAGCUUUCACUCCACCUAAGCACGCUUGAAUAAAGGUGUUAUUUCCAACACUGA